RNAcentral lists this ribosomal RNA (465 nucleotides) under uncultured Klebsiella sp. Its description in RNAcentral is "bacterial SSU rRNA". It matches the Rfam family "Bacterial small subunit ribosomal RNA", at positions 338 to 795 of the family's 1533-position model. The record is from RNAcentral. Lineage: Bacteria; Pseudomonadati; Pseudomonadota; Gammaproteobacteria; Enterobacterales; Enterobacteriaceae.
CCUACGGGUGGCAGCAGUGGGGAAUAUUGCACAAUGGGCGCAAGCCUGAUGCAGCCAUGCCGCGUGUGUGAAGAAGGCCUUCGGGUUGUAAAGCACUUUCAGCGGGGAGGAAGGCGGUGAGGUUAAUAACCUCAUCGAUUGACGUUACCCGCAGAAGAAGCACCGGCUAACUCCGUGCCAGCAGCCGCGGUAAUACGGAGGGUGCGAGCGUCAAUCGGAAUUACUGGGCGUAAAGCGCACGCAGGCGGUCUGUCAAGUCGGAUGUGAAAUCCCCGGGCUCAACCUGGGAACUGCAUUCGAAACUGGCAGGCUAGAGUCUUGUAGAGGGGGGUAGAAUUCCAGGUGUAGCGGUGAAAUGCGUAGAGAUCUGGAGGAAUACCGGUGGCGAAGGCGGCCCCCUGGACAAAGACUGACGCUCAGGUGCGAAAGCGUGGGGAGCAAACAGGAUUAGAUACCCUGGUAGUC